This 348-nucleotide unclassified non-coding RNA is filed under the name uncultured Russulales. Its description in RNAcentral is "sequence contains 5.8S rRNA gene, ITS2, 28S rRNA gene". Lineage: Eukaryota; Fungi; Basidiomycota; Agaricomycetes; Agaricales. The record is from RNAcentral.
AACGCACCUUGCGCCCCUUGGCAUUCCGAAGGGCACACCCGUUUGAGUGUCGUGAAAUCCUCAACCUUCUCCCUUUCUUGUUGAAUUGGGGGAAAGGCUUGGACUUUGGAGGUAUCAUUUUUUGCUGGCCUCUUUCCACUUGAAGCCAGCUCCUCUUAAAGGAAUUAGUGGGGAUCCCCUUUGCCGAUCCUUGACGUGAUAAGCUUUUGCAACCUCGUCUCGAGAGGUAGAGAAACCCUGCUUCUAAAUUGUCUCGUUUGAGACACGGGUGGUUUUGAAAGGUUUGCCCCUUUGACCCACCAAACCCCUUUUGACCUCAAAUCGGGUGAGACUACCCGCUGAACUUAA